Molecule: ribosomal RNA, 556 nt
Filed under: Sclerotinia sclerotiorum
Lineage: Eukaryota; Fungi; Ascomycota; Leotiomycetes; Helotiales; Sclerotiniaceae
Description: partial 18S ribosomal RNA
Rfam family: 5.8S ribosomal RNA (bases 207-359)
Source: RNAcentral
UAGAGGAAGUAAAAGUCGUAACAAGGUUUCCGUAGGUGAACCUGCGGAAGGAUCAUUACAGAGUUCAUGCCCGAAAGGGUAGACCUCCCACCCUUGUGUAUUAUUACUUUGUUGCUUUGGCGAGCUGCUCUUCGGGGCCUUGUAUGCUCGCCAGAGAAUUCAAAACUCUUUUUAUUAAUGUCGUCUGAGUACUAUAUAAUAGUUAAAACUUUCAACAACGGAUCUCUUGGUUCUGGCAUCGAUGAAGAACGCAGCGAAAUGCGAUAAGUAAUGUGAAUUGCAGAAUUCAGUGAAUCAUCGAAUCUUGAACGCACAUUGCGCCCCUUGGUAUUCCGGGGGGCAUGCCUGUUCGAGCGUCAUUUCAACCCUCAAGCUCAGCUUGGUAUUGAGUCCAUGUCAGUAAUGGCAGGCUCUAAAAUCAGUGGCGGCGCCGCUGGGUCCUGAACGUAGUAAUAUCUCUCGUUACAGGUUCUCGGUGUGCUUCUGCCAAAACCCAAAUUUUCUAUGGUUGACCUCGGAUCAGGUAGGGAUACCCGCUGAACUUAAGCAUAUCAAU